GAUGAACGCUGGCUACGGCUUAACACAUGCAAGUCGAGGGGAAACGACGGGGAAGCUUGCUUCCCCGGGCGUCGACCGGCGCACGGGUGAGUAACGCGUAUCCAACCUGCCUCUGACUGAGGGAUAACCCGUCGAAAGUCGGCCUAAUACCUCAUGGCAUCGUCUGCGGGCAUCCACGACGAUAAAAGAUUUCAUCGGUCAGGGAUGGGGAUGCGUCUGAUUAGCUUGUUGGCGGGGUAACGGCCCACCAAGGCUACGAUCAGUAGGGGUUCUGAGAGGAAGGUCCCCCACGUUGGAACUGAUACACGGUCCAAACUCCUACUGGAGGCAGCAGUGAGGAAUAUUGGUCGAUGGGCGAGAGCCUGAACCAGCCAAGUAUCGUGCAGGAUGACGGGCCUAUGGUGUGUAAACUGCUUUUUAUUCGGGUGUAAAGUGAGGGACGUGUCCUUCAUUGCAGGUACCGCAUUAAUUAAUGACCGGCUAAUUCCUGUGCCAGUGGCCGCGGUAAUACUGAGGGUUCGGGCGUUAUCCUGAUUUUUUUGGUUUAAAUGGAGGUUUUCUGUGGAUUUUGUCGUGUUGUGAAAUUGCGUGGGCUCAACUCUGGCACUUGUGUGCGCGACUGUUCUGUUGUGAGUGUGCUGUGGCUGGGGUGAAUUUGUGCUGUGUAGUGGUGAAAUACUGUAAUGUGACUAUGAACUGCGAUUGCGUAUUGUGCUUGUGUGAGCUGUGCUGUUGUGUGAGGUUUGUGUUGCUGUGUCGAACAGAUUGUAUGUGGUGGGUGUGCAUGUGCUGUGUCUUUGUUGUGUUCGGGUUGUGUGUGCCUGUUGCUUGAAAAAAGAAUAACUAAGAUGAUAGAUGUUUCAUCGAUUGAUAGAGU
This 877-nucleotide ribosomal RNA is filed under the name uncultured Sneathia sp. Its description in RNAcentral is "bacterial SSU rRNA". The stretch from base 1 to 530 matches the Rfam family "Bacterial small subunit ribosomal RNA", at positions 28 to 545 of the family's 1533-position model. Lineage: Bacteria; Fusobacteriati; Fusobacteriota; Fusobacteriia; Fusobacteriales; Leptotrichiaceae. The record is from RNAcentral.